UACGAAGGGGGCUAGCGUUGUUCGGAAUUACUGGGCGUAAAGCGCACGUAGGCGGGGCUUUAAGUCAGGGGUGAAAUCCUGGAGCUCAACUCCAGAACUGCCUUUGAUACUGAAGAUCUUGAGUUCGGGAGAGGUGAGUGGAACUGCGAGUGUAGAGGUGAAAUUCGUAGAUAUUCGCAAGAACACCAGUGGCGAAGGCGGCUCACUGGCCCGAUACUGACGCUGAGGCACGAAAGCGUGGGGAGCAAACAGG
Molecule: ribosomal RNA, 253 nt
Filed under: uncultured bacterium
Lineage: Bacteria
Description: partial 16S ribosomal RNA
Rfam family: Bacterial small subunit ribosomal RNA
Source: RNAcentral